UACAGAGGUCUCAAGCGUUGUUCGGAUUCAUUGGGCGUAAAGGGUGCGUCGGUGGCGGGGCAAGUCUGGUGUGAAAUCCCGGGGCUCAACCCUGGAACUGCACUGGAUACUGCUUUGCUAGAGUACUGGAGAGGGAACUGGAAUUUACGGUGUAGCAGUGAAAUGCGUAGAUAUCGUAAGGAAGACCAGUGGCGAAGGCGAGUUCCUGGACAGUUACUGACACUGAGGCACGAAGGCCAGGGGAGCAAACGGG
This 253-nucleotide ribosomal RNA is filed under the name uncultured bacterium. RNAcentral describes it as "partial 16S ribosomal RNA". It matches the Rfam family "Bacterial small subunit ribosomal RNA", at positions 524 to 776 of the family's 1533-position model. The record is from RNAcentral.